UGCAAUUACUGGUACAAGAGUAGUCUUAGCUUUAAUAACACUCCAUUGGAAAAUUAGUAUCUUUCUUUCACCAACGGCUUCACAGCAACAAAAGUCAGUCUUUCCGCGCAAUACAGUUACUCAUCUGGUUCUUUGAUGGGCAAGAAGCAGCACUUAGAUUGGACAACGAGGUCCAUUUCUUCCUCAGGGAGUGAGAGAGUCUCUCUCUUGACAAAGGAGGCACGGAGGAAAGCAAAUGAAGACCAAUCACCCGAUGGUCCUCCAAACGACCUGGAACUUGGAGAUGGAGUGGAGGCAGCAAAUGUUGGGUUUGGUAGAGUAUUUUCACUGGCAAAGCC
Molecule: unclassified non-coding RNA, 338 nt
Filed under: Hevea brasiliensis (rubber tree)
Lineage: Eukaryota; Viridiplantae; Streptophyta; Magnoliopsida; Malpighiales; Euphorbiaceae
Source: RNAcentral